GCAGCGAAGAGUGAAAUUACGCAAAGUGUGGUUAUAAUAUAAUUUUCGGCAGCAUUUUUUAUAUUUUAUACAUAUUCCGAUAUUUAGUCCAUAAAAAUGGAUACUGAAGAGCAAUAUGAUUGGGAUAUGCUUGAAGUUGGAGAAAAAUGGCAUCAGUCCGAAAUACGAUCUAUAAUAGCACAUGUAAAGGCAAAUAAAUUCCUAAUUCAUAAAACCAAAAAAGAUUUUUCGAAUAAAGAAAAAAAGAUAACGCGUGGAAAAUAAUUGCUGUAUUACUGAAUAGAACAGAAAUAGAAGUGCAAAAGAAAUAGAAAUCGUUGAGAACUGUAUUCAGUCGUAAAUUAGCGCAAUUAAAGCAGAAAAUGCCGAGUGUGGAAGCGGAGUUAAUGUAAAAGAAAACUUACGAUUUGACUGGGAGUACUAGGGUGACAUGCAAUUUCUUAUACCAUAUAUGCGUCACAAAUGUAACAGAAUAUCAAAUUUGAUAAGACAUCACUUCCAGUUUCUUCUAAAAGUAGUGGAUAUUUUUGGCUUCUUCAAAAAAUGGACAAUCGAUUCUAAAAUUAGACGAAGGAACACAUGAAGAUACAGUCGAAAUUGAAUCAUUGCCUUUGCAGAAUGCAAAUUUAAUAUUUUCUAAUACUUCGAGUAUGUAAUGCAUAAAUUAUCAAUACAGUACAACUUCAAAGUC
Cyphomyrmex costatus is the source of this 691-nucleotide long non-coding RNA. RefSeq lists it as uncharacterized. The record is from RefSeq and is a predicted model, not a curated record. Lineage: Eukaryota; Metazoa; Arthropoda; Insecta; Hymenoptera; Formicidae. The transcript has 3 exons.